This 1012-nucleotide long non-coding RNA is filed under the name Gossypium barbadense (sea-island cotton). RNAcentral's name for it is "long non-coding RNA (GBAR_LNC008172)". The record is from RNAcentral. Lineage: Eukaryota; Viridiplantae; Streptophyta; Magnoliopsida; Malvales; Malvaceae.
UCCUUCAUAACCUUAUAAAAACAAGACAUUUUAGCACUCCUAUAUAUUGUUCAAGAUACAAAGUCGAAGUAAGAUGAGAAGUUUACUGAUUGUUUUAACCAACAACGGUGUUGUUGGUAGAGGACAGACUCUUUGUUCCAAUGUUCAGGUUUUGAUCCUAGCAAUGCCACGUAUCAAAAGAGAGAGAGACAGAGAUGAAAAGUUUACUGAUUGUUUUAGCCAACAACAGUGUAGUUGGUAGAGGACAGACUCUUUGUUCCAAUGUUCAGGUUUUGAUCCUAGCAAUGCCACGUAUCAAAAGAGAGAGAGACAGAGACACAGCCUGAGAGACAAACGUUCUUUUUUGAAGUUGUGACUAUGUAAGGAGCUUUUUCUUUUAUAUUGCUUAUAAAACUAAACAUCAAGUAGCCUACCGGGACAUAUAGAGCUCUUUUGGACUUAUACAUCAACGAUUUUGAUUCCAUCUAAGGCCUUAAAGAGUUCAAAAUUAAUUGGCUCUACUCAUAAAGGACUCAAAAGCAUCCUGGCUGACAUGCUUUAGCUGUGAUAAUUACAACGCAACAGUUUAACUCUUAGAUCAGCCUCAAUAAGCAAAAUAAAAAAGUUCAAGCAUCAGAUAGUUGAACCAAGCUUGGCAUUUUCUUUUGUGAGUUUAACCAAUAUUAUCAGUACCUAGAUCAACAUAAUUUGUGCCCAAAGUUUUCCAUUCUUUUAUCUAUAAAUAAAUUUUCUGUUAAAAUGUUUAACCGGUCUAUGAAGUGAUUAUAAACUGUUUACAGGUCUAUUUCAGUCGGUGCUGUGUCCAAAGGAAAUGAAAUUCAAGUUGGUCUUAGCUUCAAAAUACUAAAUAAAUUCUAAUCAUAACAGAACAGAGAAAUUAAACAUGCAGUUAUAUGUUAAUAUAGCAAACUAUUUUGCAAUACCAAAAAGGUAAUAGCCAAAAGGAUAUGCAGUAAUAGGUUUUACAUAGGUCAUAAAUGUAGAUGAACAAGCAAGUUUUUACAGAAUCUUA